This 930-nucleotide ribosomal RNA is filed under the name Lauriomyces glumateus. RNAcentral's name for it is "SSU rRNA". It matches the Rfam family "Eukaryotic small subunit ribosomal RNA", at positions 156 to 1097 of the family's 1831-position model. The record is from RNAcentral. Lineage: Eukaryota; Fungi; Ascomycota; Leotiomycetes.
UUCUAGAGCUAAUACAUGCUAAAAACCUCGACUUCGGAAGGGGUGUAUUUAUUAGAUAAAAGACCAAUGCCCUUCGGGGCUCCUUGGUGAUUCAUAAUAACUUAACGAAUCGCAUGGCCUUGCGCCGGCGAUGGUUCAUUCAAAUUUCUGCCCUAUCAACUUUCGAUGGUAGGGUAGUGGCCUACCAUGGUUGCAACGGGUAACGGACGAUUAGGGUUGGACUCCGGAGAGGGAGCCUGAGAAACGGCUACCACAUCCAAGGAAGGCAGCAGGCGCGCAAAUUACCCAAUCCCGACGCGGGGAGGUAGUGACAAUAAAUACUGAUACAGGGCUCUUUUGGGUCUUGUAAUUGGAAUGAGUACAAUUUAAAUCUCUUAACGAGGAACAAUUGGAGGGCAAGUCUGGUGCCAGCAGCCGCGGUAAUUCCAGCUCCAAUAGCGUAUAUUAAAGUUGUUGCAGUUAAAAAGCUCGUAGUUGAACCUUGGGUCUGGCUGGCCGGUCCGCCUCACCGCGUGCACUGGUCCGGCCGGACCUUUCCUUCUGGGGAGCCUCAUGCCCUUCACUGGGUGUGCUGGUCAACCAGGACUUUUACUGUGAAAAAAUUAGAGUGUUCAAAGCAGGCCUAUGCUCGAAUACAUUAGCAUGGAAUAAUAGAAUAGGACGUGUGGUUCUAUUUUGUUGGUUAUAGGACCGCCGUAAUGAUUAAUAGGGAUAGUCGGGGGCAUCAGUAUUCAAUUGUCAGAGGUGAAAUUCUUGGAUUUAUUGAAGACUAACUACUGCGAAAGCAUUUGCCAAGGAUGUUUUCAUUAAUCAGGAACGAAAGUUAGGGGAUCGAAGACGAUCAGAUACCGUCGUAGUCUUAACCAUAAACUAUGCCGACUAGGGAUCGGGCGAUGUUAUUAUUUGACUCGCUCGGCACCUUACGAGAAA